CAUGCCCGGGUGCUUAUACAUGUAGUCGAACGGUGCGUUAGAAAUAACGUAUAGUGGCGAACGGGUGAGUAACGCGUAGGUGACCUGCCCCAAAAUGGAGGAUAACAGGACGAAAGUCUUGCUAAUACUGCGUAAUCUUUAUCUAGUCAGAGAGGAUAAAGGAAAGCCGAGAGGCGUUUUGGGAGGGGCCUGCGACCCAUCAGCUAGUUGGUGGGGUAAAAGCCUACCAAGGCAACGACGGGUAGGGGGCCUGAGAGGGUGAUCCCCCACACUGGCACUGAAACACGGGCCAGACACCUACGGGUGGCAGCAGUAGGGAAUAUUGCACAAUGGGCGGAAGCCUGAUGCAGCAACGCCGCGUGCACGAUGAAGGCCUUCGGGUCGUAAAGUGCUUUUCUGUAGGACGAGAGAGGACGGUACUGCAGGAAUAAGGAUCGGCUAACUACGUGCCAGCAGCCGCGGUAACACGUAGGAUCCGAGCGUUAUCCGAAUUCACUGGGCGUAAAGCGCUUGCAGGCGGCAAGGUAAGUUGGAUGUAAAAUCUUCUGGCUCAACUGGGAGGUGCCGUUCAAGACUGCCUGGCUAGAGGGCGAUAGAGGGAGGUGGAAUUCCCGGUGUAGUGGUGAAAUGCGUAGAUAUCGGGAGGAACACCAGAGGCGAAAGCGGCCUCCUGGAUCGCAACUGACGCUGAGAAGCGAAAGCUAGGGGAGCAAACGGGAUUAGAAACCCCGGUAGUCCUAGCUGUAAACGAUGUAGACUAGGUGUUGGUGGAGUAAAAUCUAUCAGUACCGCAGCAAACGCGUUAAGUCUACCGCCUGGGGACUACGGCCGCAAGGUUAAAACUCAAAGGAAUUGACGG
This 859-nucleotide ribosomal RNA is filed under the name uncultured Chloroflexota bacterium. RNAcentral's name for it is "bacterial SSU rRNA". It matches the Rfam family "Bacterial small subunit ribosomal RNA", at positions 36 to 916 of the family's 1533-position model. The record is from RNAcentral. Lineage: Bacteria; Bacillati; Chloroflexota.